RNAcentral lists this ribosomal RNA (397 nucleotides) under uncultured bacterium. RNAcentral describes it as "bacterial SSU rRNA". It matches the Rfam family "Bacterial small subunit ribosomal RNA", at positions 355 to 776 of the family's 1533-position model. The record is from RNAcentral.
UUAGGAAUCUUGCACAAUGGACGAAAGUCUGAUGCAGCGACGCCGCGUGGAGGAUGACGGCCUUUGGGUUGUAAACUCCUUUUGAUUUCUCAUGAAGUGAAAUCGAAUAAGCAACUACUAACUACGUGCCAGCAGUCGCGGUAAUACGUAGGUUGCAAGCGUUACCCGGUUUUACUGGGUGUAAAGGGUCCGUAGGUUGUCGGACAAGUCCUGUUUUAAAGACCUCGACUUAAUCGAGGAAAGGGGCAGGAUACUAUUCGACUAGAGUUAUAUCGGGGUUACUGGAAUUGACUGUGUAGGGGUAAAAUCCGUGGAUACAGUCAAGAACACCAAGCGCGAAGGCGGGUAACCAGGUAUAUACUGACACUAAGGGACGAAAGCUAGGGUAGCAAAUCAG